GAAAUUCCAAUCGAACCCGGAGAUAGCUGGUUCUCCCCGAAAUAGCUUUAGGGCUAGCGUCGCAGCGAGAGAGCCGUGAAGGUAGAGCACUGAAUAUGCGAUGGCCGCAUCCCGCGGUACUGAGCAUAAUCAAACUCCGAAUGUCACGGUGUCAUCUGCGGCAGUCAGACGGCGAGUGAUAAGGUCCGUCGUCAAAAGGGAAACAGCCCAGACCAUCAGCUAAGGUCCCAAAGUGCAUGCUAAGUGGAAAAGGAAGUGGAGACGUGCAGACAACUAGGAGGUUGGCUCAGAAGCAGCCAUCCUUCAAAGAGUGCGUAACAGCUCACUAGUCGAAUGACUCUGCGCCGAUAAUUUACCGGGGCUAAGCAUGACACCGAAGCUAUGGACAGGAAUGUGGUAGGGGAGCAUUGCAUGCAGCGGAGAAGCAUGACCGGAAGGGCAUGUGGAGCGCAUGGAAGAGAGAAUGCCGGCGUGAGUAGCGGCACGUGGGUGAGAAUCCCACGCACCGAUGGCCCAAGGUCUCCAGAGGAAGGCUCGUCCUCUCUGGGAUAGUCGGGACCUAAGGCGAGGCCGAAAGGCGUAGCCGAUGGACGACGGGUGGAUAUUCCCGUACCCGAUGUGUGGCGAUGGAGUGACGGAGAAGGCUCAGGCAACCAGCUGCUGGAAUAGCUGGGGCAAGCGAGAUACCUGCGCACCAGGGAAAUCCGGUGCGCACAAGGGGAAGGCGCGAUGCAUACGGAAAGCUUCGGCAAGUACGGAAAAGCUGAGAGCAGGCUUCCAGGAAAAGCUUCUAGCACAACACACAUCGGCCCGUACCGAAAAUGGACACACAUGGGCAAGGAGAGAAUCCUGAGGUGAGCGAGAGAACUAUAGCUAAGGAACUCUGCAAAAUGACCCCGUAACCUAGGGAGAAGGGGUGCUCCAGAAAUGGAGCCGCAGUAAAACGGCCCAAGCGACUGUUUACCAAAAACACAGCUCUCUGCGAAGGCGCAAGCCGAAGUAUAGGGGGUGACGCCUGCCCGGUGCUGGAAGGUCAAGGGGAGCUGUCAGCGCAAGCGAAGCAGCGAGCCGAAGCCCCAGUAAACGGCGGCCGUAACUAUAACGGUCCUAAGGUAGCGAAAUUCCUUGUCGGGCAAGUUCCGACC
Molecule: ribosomal RNA, 1145 nt
Filed under: human gut metagenome
Description: bacterial LSU rRNA
Rfam family: Bacterial large subunit ribosomal RNA
Source: RNAcentral